AGUGGGGAAUCUUGCGCAAUGGGCGAAAGCCUGACGCAGCCAUGCCGCGUGGAUGAUGAAGGUCUUAGGAUUGUAAAAUCCUUUCACCGGGGACGAUAAUGACGGUACCCGGAGAAGAAGCCCCGGCUAACUUCGUGCCAGCAGCCGCGGUAAUACGAAGGGGGCUAGCGUUGCUCGGAAUUACUGGGCGUAAAGGGCGCGUAGGCGGACAGUUAAGUUGGGGGUGAAAGCCCGGGGCUCAACCUCGGAAUUGCCUUCAAUACUGGCUGUCUUGAGUACGGGAGAGGUGAGUGGAACUCCGAGUGUAGAGGUGAAAUUCGUAGAUAUUCGGAAGAACACCAGUGGCGAAGGCGACUCACUGGCCCGUUACUGACGCUGAGGCGCGAAAGCGUGGGGAGCAAACAGGAUUAGAUACCCUGGUAGUCCACGCCGUAAACGAUGAGUGCUAGUUGUCGGCAUGCAUGCAUGUCGGUGACGCAGCUAACGCAUUAAGCACUCCGCCUGGGGAGUACGGUCGCAAGAUUA
Molecule: ribosomal RNA, 525 nt
Filed under: uncultured bacterium
Lineage: Bacteria
Description: bacterial SSU rRNA
Rfam family: Bacterial small subunit ribosomal RNA
Source: RNAcentral